Vombatus ursinus (common wombat) is the source of this 551-nucleotide long non-coding RNA. RefSeq lists it as uncharacterized. The record is from RefSeq and is a predicted model, not a curated record. NCBI's taxonomy places the organism in Eukaryota, Metazoa, Chordata, Mammalia, Diprotodontia, Vombatidae. The transcript is spliced from 4 exons.
CCAGGCACUCUGCUUAGCACGACAAAUAUUACAACCUGGGAGGGAGAAGAGGAGACAGCAAAAGACAGAGCUUCAGGCAUUAUGCUACAUGUAAGGUCAGGAAGGAGCCUAUGAAGAAGGAGUAAGAGUGGUUAGAGAGGUAGGUGGACAACCAUGUGAUGUCCAUGAAGCCAAGGGAAGAGAGAAUAUCCAGAAGAAUCAUCAAAGUCUGAUGGCAAAACAAAAGAUAAGUAGCAAUGGCCUGGGAUGCAGUGGAUGACCUUGGUGUCUUUGAUGUCUAGCCAAGUUCAAAGUGCUCCACAAUGCCUGCUCAGCCACCUUCAUGGCCUGUUGGCCCAAAUUGUUCUCACCACCCAUUCCAUCAGGGGAAGUCUUCACAUGCUUGGGGUAGACAUCCUCCUAACUCUCCAACUGGUUUAAGGCCUGUAGGUUACCUUCAACCUGGCUUAGCCCAAUUUAUGGGAUGAUUUUACCAGAGUGUGGCUGCUGCACAUGUUACAGCUUCUUGGAGCCCCAGGCAAUCAGGGUUAAGUGACUUGCCCCAGGGUCAC